GAUGAACGCUAGCGAUAGGCCUAACACAUGCAAGUCGAGGGGCAUCACAUGAAGUAGCAAUACGGAUGGUGGCGACCGGCGCACGGGUGAGUAACACGUAUGCAACCUGCCUUCAACAAGGGGAUAACCCGUUGAAAGACGGACUAAUACCCUAUAACACAGGGGUCCCGCAUGGGAAUAUUUGUUAAAGGACAACCGGUUGAAGAUGGGCAUGCGUUCCAUUAGCUAGUUGGUGGGGUAACGGCCCACCAAGGCAACGAUGGAUAGGGGAACUGAGAGGUUUAUCCCCCACACUGGUACUGAGACACGGACCAGACUCCUACGGGAGGCAGCAGUGAGGAAUAUUGGUCAAUGGACGCAAGUCUGAACCAGCCACGUCGCGUGAAGGAAGACGGCCCUACGGGUUGUAAACUUCUUUUAUACGGGAAUAAAGUGCCCCACGCGUGGGGUUUUGCAUGUACCGUAUGAAUAAGGAUCGGCUAACUCCGUG
Molecule: ribosomal RNA, 490 nt
Filed under: uncultured bacterium
Lineage: Bacteria
Description: bacterial SSU rRNA
Rfam family: Bacterial small subunit ribosomal RNA
Source: RNAcentral